Molecule: long non-coding RNA, 107 nt
Organism: Sander lucioperca (pikeperch)
Lineage: Eukaryota; Metazoa; Chordata; Actinopteri; Perciformes; Percidae
Exons: 4
Source: RefSeq, a predicted model, not a curated record
AGAGCCAUCAUAUCUCCACAUGUAAAUGGGUGAAUUAAGGGUUUAUUUCAACCAAACUGGAGUGGUGAUAGUUGGAACAGUGAAAAGACAAAGCAACACAGCUUUUG